This 450-nucleotide ribosomal RNA is filed under the name uncultured bacterium. Its description in RNAcentral is "partial 16S ribosomal RNA". It matches the Rfam family "Bacterial small subunit ribosomal RNA", at positions 354 to 796 of the family's 1533-position model. The record is from RNAcentral.
GUGGGGAAUUUUGGACAAUGGGCGCAAGCCUGAUCCAGCAAUGCCGCGUGCAGGAAGAAGGCCUUCGGGUUGUAAACUGCUUUUGUACGGAACGAAACGGUCCGGGUUAAUACCCUGGGCUAAUGACGGUACCGUAAGAAUAAGCACCGGCUAACUACGUGCCAGCAGCCGCGGUAAUACGUAGGGUGCAAGCGUUAAUCGGAAUUACUGGGCGUAAAGCGUGCGCAGGCGGUUUUGUAAGUUGGAAGUGAAAUCCCCGGGCUCAACCUGGGAACUGCAUUUGUGACUGCAUAGCUAGAGUACGGCAGAGGGGGAUGGAAUUCCGCGUGUAGCAGUGAAAUGCGUAGAUAUGCGGAGGAACACCGAUGGCGAAGGCAAUCCCCUGGGCCUGUACUGACGCUCAUGCACGAAAGCGUGGGGAGCAAACAGGAUUAGAUACCCGGGUAGUCC